GACGAACGCUGGCGGCGUGCUUAACACAUGCAAGUCGAACGGAAAGGCCUCUUUCGGGGGGUACUCGAGUGGCGAACGGGUGAGUAACACGUGAGUAACCUGCCCUUGACUUUGGGAUAACUUCAGGAAACUGGGGCUAAUACCGGAUAGGAGCUCCUGCUGCAUGGUGGGGGUUGGAAAGUUUCGGCGGUUGGGGGUGGACUCGCGGCUUAUCAGCUUGUGGUUGGGGUAGUGGCUUACCAAGGCUUUGACGGGUAGCCGGCCUGAGAGGGUGACAGGCGACAUUGGGACUGAGAGACGGCCCAGACUCCUACGGGAGGCAGCAGUGGGGAAUAUUGCACAAUGGGUGGAAGCCUGAUGCAGCAACGCCGCGUGCGGGAUGACGGCCUUCGGGUUGUAAACCGCUUUCGCUCAUGACGAAGCGUUGUGUGACGGUAGUGGGUAAAGAGGCACCGGCUAACUACGUG
Molecule: ribosomal RNA, 467 nt
Filed under: uncultured bacterium
Lineage: Bacteria
Description: partial 16S ribosomal RNA
Rfam family: Bacterial small subunit ribosomal RNA
Source: RNAcentral